This 21-nucleotide non-coding RNA is filed under the name Caenorhabditis elegans. Lineage: Eukaryota; Metazoa; Nematoda; Chromadorea; Rhabditida; Rhabditidae. The record is from RNAcentral.
UUUAUAGAGGAACACAUAUAC